Molecule: ribosomal RNA, 450 nt
Filed under: Microbacterium hatanonis
Lineage: Bacteria; Bacillati; Actinomycetota; Actinomycetes; Micrococcales; Microbacteriaceae
Description: bacterial SSU rRNA
Rfam family: Bacterial small subunit ribosomal RNA
Source: RNAcentral
CUGGUGCAUGGUCGUCGUCAGCUCGGUGUCGUGAGAUGUAGGGCUAAGUCCCGCAACGAGCGCAACUCUCGUUUUACGUCGCCACCAUGUGAUGGUGGGGAGUUAUCGGAGACCGCCGGGGUUCACUUGGAGGAAGGUGGGGAUGAGGUCCAAUUAUCCUGCCCCUUAUGUUCUGGGCUUCCCCCCUGCUACAAUGGCCGGUACAAAGGGCUGCGAUACCCCGAGGUGGAGCGAAUUCCAAAAAACCGGUCUCAGUUUGGAUUGGGGUUUGCAACUUGACCCCAUGAAGUUGGAGUCGCUAGUAAUCGCAGAUCAGCAACGCUGCGGUGAAUACGUUCCCGGGCCUUGUACACACCGCCCGUCAAGUCACGAAAGUCGGUAACACCCGAAGCCGGUGGCCCAACCCUUGUGGAGGGAGCCGUCGAAGGUGGGACUGGCGAUUGGGAAUGU